Molecule: transfer RNA, 65 nt
Filed under: Aesalus sp. JL-2019
Lineage: Eukaryota; Metazoa; Arthropoda; Insecta; Coleoptera; Lucanidae
Description: tRNA-Asn
Source: RNAcentral
UUAAUUGAAACCAAAUAGAGGUUUACCACUGUUAAUGGUAUAAAUGAAUAAAUACUCCAAUUAAA